Molecule: ribosomal RNA, 428 nt
Filed under: uncultured bacterium
Lineage: Bacteria
Description: partial 16S ribosomal RNA
Rfam family: Bacterial small subunit ribosomal RNA
Source: RNAcentral
GUGGGGAAUAUUGGGCAAUGGGGGAAACCCUGACCCAGCAACGCCGCGUGAGGGAAGAAGGUUUUCGGAUUGUAAACCUCUGUCCUUGGUGACGAAGGAAGUGACGGUAACCAAGGAGGAAGCCCCGGCUAACUACGUGCCAGCAGCCGCGGUAAUACGUAGGGGGCAAGCGUUGUCCGGAAUGACUGGGCGUAAAGGGCGUGUAGGCGGCCGAUUAAGUCUGGAGUGAAAGUCCUGCUUGCAAGGUGGGAAUUGCUUUGGAGACUGGUUGGCUUGAGUGCGGAAGAGGUAAGUGGAAUUCCCAGUGUAGCGGUGAAAUGCGUAGAGAUUGGGAGGAACACCAGGGGCGAAGGCGACUUACUGGGCCGUAACUGACGCUGAGGCGCGAAAGCGUGGGGAGCGAACAGGAUUAGAAACCCUUGUAGUCC